Papaver somniferum (opium poppy) is the source of this 1819-nucleotide long non-coding RNA. RefSeq lists it as uncharacterized. Lineage: Eukaryota; Viridiplantae; Streptophyta; Magnoliopsida; Ranunculales; Papaveraceae. The record is from RefSeq and is a predicted model, not a curated record. The transcript has 2 exons.
GUUCUGAAACCUAAUUUUCUUUUUUCGCCUCCCUCACUCACUCCACUGAAAUUCCAAGCUGAAGAAGAAGAGCAUUGCAUAACGGGGAUACUCUAAAAUCAUUUAUUCAAAAGGUUAAAGGUGUCACUGAAAUCAACAGUUUUAUAUGUAAGUGUGUUUACCCUAAUUUUGAAGAUUUGAUUUGUCAAACUGAACAUUGAUUUACUCUAUCAGAUCCGAUGUGAUUCCCUAGCAUCAUUAGAAUGUGACAUUGAUGCUGUUGGAAUGGAUUAUUCAUCAAAAUCUAUAGAUUUUUCUGUUCAAUUGUUUGGUUAUGAUUUCGGUUUGGUUUUACUGUGGUUUUAUAAUAGCUAUGAUGAUAUGAGGUUUCUUAGUUGUUGGAACCCACCCACUAAAGAAUACAAAAAAAUGCUCUAGAUCUGCCUUCAUUCGUCAGCUUUCCUGUUAUACAUAUCUCACAUUCAUUCAACGUCUUCUCCAAAUCUUUAGAUUAUUCUGUGUAUUGCAAUUGUUUAAUUAUGAUUUGGGUAAAUAAGGCUCUAUGUAAGAAAGGUAUCUUAAUUAUUAUUUGAUGCUUAAGAAUGCUAUUGAUUUGUGCCAAGGAUUUGUUCGCGGAGUUUAAUUUUAGCUUCAGAUGUCUGCCAAGUUCCCAUGAGGUGGAUAAGAGCAUGAGAAUGUAGCCCCCAUUAGGUUUCUUUGUUGUGGAAACCCAUCCACUAAAGAAUACAAAAAAGUACAAAUGGAAGGCAAAUCCCCCAAGACCAGUGUGAAAGAGGGAAAGUUAAUUUUGUUUCAUUGGGUUCAGAUUCGAGUUAUGUAGAAGGGAAGACAAAAGAUAAGAAAAGAGGAAGGCUGUGUUCACUAACAGAUCAGAUUGUGUGUCUAUGAUAAUGGAUGUUUAUAAGAAGAUCAAAGUUAACUAUUUAGAUUGGGGAGAAACUUUGAGUCUACCUCAGCAACAAGCACUACUUGACAUCUGAGGUUACUUAAAAAAUCAUGGAAGAAUGUUUCUGCGUACCUCUAGCACUCAUCAACGUUGGUCGAACUGUGCCUCUCACAAGGACUCUCUGAAGAUGGCAACGUCUACUCAGUUUCAGGAAUGCGCUAAAUUAUGCUCUUUUAAUAGUAAAUUGAUUCAGCUGUACGCCAUCUACUCCAAUGUUUCAGUUCAGUCAGUUUGUCUUCCUAGAGCAAUGGCAUUAUGUUUCGUCAAGAUACUUCUUGUCCUGGUAAUUCGAAGCUCUAGGUUUCGUCAAGCAUUGGUAUCUCUUUGGCAAAAGCAUGUUGUGUUACUUGGUACAACAUUUAACAUCUGCAGAAGAGGUGCUACCUUUUCUCUGUGGCCUAUGGAGUUUGGAGAUCGAAUGAGCAGAAAACCUUGUCCGUUUAUCACUGUUCUUUUACAAGCAAAUCGCCUUUCAUAAAUGUUGGUGUAGACAACCAUUUCCGUCGAAAUUUGAUAUUUGUUUCUCACUGGAAGUUUGAAAGCUUCACACAACCAUUUGGGGUUACUUACUUCAUGCACUGAAUCUGGUGGCGCGAGGUUUUAAUGGAACAGAGGCCAAGAGAUACUGGCUUUCAACAUCAAAUCUCUCAUCUAUUCUGGAGACAAUGUUUUCCUCCCAGAAGUGAGUACUUUUUCCAGGUUCUGGAUAUUCAGUUUGGACUCUCCAUUACUUGAGGGAUCCUCCUUGUGAUGUGUUCAAGGUUUCCUGUACGGCCUAGUGCUAUUGCUUUCUUUUUACUUUUAUAUCUUGUUCUCUUUUUAGAUGUUUUUAUUCUAUGUUGCCUCAUUUAUCACAGUUGCCUCUGUGUUCAU